CAUGCAAGUCGAACGGGAGGAAAAGAGAAGCUUGCUUCUUUUUGAAUCUAGUGGCAAGCGGGUGAGUAACACGUAAACAACCUGCCUUCAGGAUGGGGACAACAGACGGAAACGACUGCUAAUACCGAAUGUGUUCCGGAGACCGCAUGAUUUCCGGAAGAAAGGAUGGCCUCUAUUUAUAAGCUAUCGCCUGAAGAGGGGUUUGCGUCUGAUUAGGCAGUUGGUGAGGUAACGGCCCACCAAACCUACGAUCAGUAGCCGGUCUGAGAGGAUGAACGGCCACACUGGAACUGAGACACGGUCCAGACUCCUACGGGAGGCAGCAGUGGGGAAUCUUCCGCAAUGGACGAAAGUCUGACGGAGCAACGCCGCGUGAGUGAUGACGGCCUUCGGGUUGUAAAGCUCUGUGAUCGGGGACGAAUGGCUGGUAUGCUAAUACCAUAUCAGAGUGACGGUACCCGAAUAGCAAGCCACGGCUAACUACGUGCCAGCAGCCGCGGUAAUACGUAGGUGGCAAGCGUUGUCCGGAAUUAUUGGUCGUAAAGCGCGCGCAGGCGGCUUCUUAAGUCCAUCUUAAAAGUGCGGGGCUUAACCCCGUGAUGGGAUGGAAACUGGGAGGCUGGAGUAUCGGAGAGGAAAGUGGAAUUCCUAGUGUAGCGGUGAAAUGCGUAGAGAUUAGGAAGAACACCGGUGGCGAAGGCGACUUUCUGGACGACAACUGACGCUGAGGCGCGAAAGCGUGGGGAGCAAACAGGAUUAGAUACCCUGGUAGUCCACGCCGUAAACGACGAAUACUAGGUGUAGGAGGUAUCGACCC
This 817-nucleotide ribosomal RNA is filed under the name uncultured bacterium. RNAcentral describes it as "bacterial SSU rRNA". It matches the Rfam family "Bacterial small subunit ribosomal RNA", at positions 54 to 838 of the family's 1533-position model. The record is from RNAcentral.